CUCACAAUUUGAAAUCUGGCUCUCGGGCCCGAGUUGUAAUUUGUAGAGGAUGCUUUUGAUGCGGUGCCUUCCGAGUUCCCUGGAACGGGACGCCAUAGAGGGUGAGAGCCCCGUCUGGUUGGAUGCCAAAUCUCUGUAAAGCUCCUUCGACGAGUCGAGUAGUUUGGGAAUGCUGCUCUAAAUGGGAGGUAUAUGUCUUCUAAAGCUAAAUACCGGCCAGAGACCGAUAGCGCACAAGUAGAGUGAUCGAAAGAUGAAAAGCACUUUGAAAAGAGAGUUAAAAAGUACGUGAAAUUGUUGAAAGGGAAGCGUUUAUGACCAGACUUGGGCUUGGUUAAUCAUCUGGGGUUCUCCCCAGUGCACUUUUCCAGUCCAGGCCAGCAUCAGUUUUCGCCGGGGGAUAAAGGCUUCGGGAAUGUGGCUCUCUCCGGGGAGUGUUAUAGCCCGUUGCGUAAUACCCUGGCGGGGACUGAGGUUCGCGCAUCUGCAAGGAUGCUGGCGUAAUGGUCAUCAACGACCCGUCUUGAAACACGGACCAAGGAGUCGUCUUCGUAUGCGAGUGUUCGGGUGUCAAACCCCUACGCGUAAUGAAAGUGAACGCAGGUGAGAGCUUCGGCGCAUCAUCGACCGAUCCUGAUGUUCUCGGAUGGAUUUGAGUAAGAGCAUACGGGGCCGGACCCGAAAGAAGGUGAACUAUGCCUGUGUAGGGUGAAGCCAGAGGAAACUCUGGUGGAGGCUCGCAGCGGUUCUGACGUGCAAAUCGAUCGUCA
This 770-nucleotide ribosomal RNA is filed under the name Fusarium equiseti. RNAcentral describes it as "partial large subunit ribosomal RNA". It matches the Rfam family "Eukaryotic large subunit ribosomal RNA", at positions 108 to 907 of the family's 3401-position model. The record is from RNAcentral. Lineage: Eukaryota; Fungi; Ascomycota; Sordariomycetes; Hypocreales; Nectriaceae.